GAUGAACGCUGGCGGCGUGCUUAACACAUGCAAGUCGAACGAUGAAGCCCAGCUUGCUGGGUGCAUUAGUGGCGAACGGGUGAGUAACACGUGAGUAACCUGCCCUUAACUCUGGGAUAAGCCUGGGAAACAGGGUCUAAUACCGGAUAGGAGCGCCUACCGCAUGGUGGGUGUUGGAAAGAUUUAUCGGUUUUGGAUGGACUCGCGGCCUAUCCGCUUCUUGGUGAGGUAUUGGCUCACGAAGGCGACGACGGGUAGCCGGCCUGGGAGGGUGACCAGCCACACUGGGACUGAGACACGGCCCAGAGUCCUACGUGAGGCAGCAGUGGAAAAUAUUGCACAAUGGGCGAAAGCCUGAUGCAGCGACGCCGCGUGAGGGAUGACGGCCUUCGGGUUGUAAACCUCUUUCUGUGGGGAAAAAGCGAUAGUGACGGUACCUACAGAAGAAGCAACGGCUAACUACGUG
This 466-nucleotide ribosomal RNA is filed under the name uncultured bacterium. RNAcentral describes it as "partial 16S ribosomal RNA". It matches the Rfam family "Bacterial small subunit ribosomal RNA", at positions 28 to 507 of the family's 1533-position model. The record is from RNAcentral.